Molecule: long non-coding RNA, 440 nt
Filed under: Solanum lycopersicum (tomato)
Lineage: Eukaryota; Viridiplantae; Streptophyta; Magnoliopsida; Solanales; Solanaceae
Description: long non-coding RNA (SLYC_LNC001236)
Source: RNAcentral
UAGCUUUCUAUAGCUUUAACUUUUAAUUAAUUCCUCACUUCUACCUUUCUUCUAUCUUCAUUUCUUGUUCUUACAUUUAGGGUUUCUUCCACAUAUUGAUAUUGCAUCACGUGUGGACAUCCUGUAUGACUUGUUUUCCUUUUCUCCUUUUGCCUUUGGAUUAAUUUGUAGUCUUCUCCUGUUGUUUUGACAAAUAAUUCAAUCUACAAUUUUUUGGUAGAAAAGAUAAUUGUAUUUAUAUACUAAUAACAUUAUUAGUAAUUCACUACUCAAUGUCUCUAGGGUAUAUAUAACUUCAUUUACAACCAUUUGGAUAAAAAAUGUAGUCAUAAAAGGUUUUUAAAGUUUUCUAGCUUUAGGAGAUUAAAGUGGGCUAAGAAUAUUUUACCUAAUCAAUCUUUCAAUCUGCUCACGUCCAAAUCCAAUCUGCCCGUUUUCCA